CACGUAGUUAGCCGGGGCUUUCUGGUAAAAGUACCGUCAUCCUAGCAUCAUUUCCUAUACUAGGUAUUCUUCCUUUACAACAGAGUUUUACAACCCAUAGGGCCUUCAUCACUCACGCGGCAUUGCUCGUUCAGGGUUUCCCCCAUUGACGAAUAUUCCUAACUGCUGUCUCCCGUAGGAGUCUGGGCCGUGUCUCAGUCCCAGUGUGUCCGAUCAGCCUCUCAGCUCGGAUAUGCAUCGUUGCCUUGGUAGGCCAUUACCCCACCAACUAGCUAAUACAACGCAAGCCCAUCUUAAAGUGAAGCAAAUGCUCCUUUUAACGAUCUAGUUAUCUAAUUACGUAUCAUCCGUAUUAGCGAUCAUUUCUAACCGUUAUCCCAGUCUACGUAAGGUUACGUUAACCCGACGUUGUUACCUCCACCCGUUCUCGCCUACUAAGUACGACCAACCCCUAA
This 455-nucleotide ribosomal RNA is filed under the name uncultured bacterium. RNAcentral describes it as "partial 16S ribosomal RNA". The record is from RNAcentral.